RNAcentral lists this transfer-messenger RNA (351 nucleotides) under Candidatus Omnitrophica bacterium CG1_02_49_10. It matches the Rfam family "transfer-messenger RNA". From Rfam's summary of the family: Bacterial tmRNA, also known as 10Sa RNA or SsrA, is named for its dual tRNA and mRNA-like properties. Its role is to liberate the mRNA from a stalled ribosome. The record is from RNAcentral. Lineage: Bacteria; Pseudomonadati; Candidatus Omnitrophota.
GGGGGUGAAAGGCUUCGACCUAAGAUAGAAUUUAAGAGUGGCAUGCGGAGGUUGUCGGGAGGCCUCCUUAAACACCUGGCAAAUAAUUAGUUGCUAACGAACAGUUAGCCCUGGCAGCUUAAUAGCAGCCACGUCAACCGGCCUUUCCUACGGGGCCGGACCUGGCGCCGAUAGUGGGAUAGUCCCAAUCCUUUUCUUUCCGGGUGAGGGGCGAAAUUGAAGGGAAGAUGGCUUCUCGAGGAUCUCGUCCGAAGGAGCCGAGAGAAGCGAGACGCAAAUUUCGGAAUAAGCAUGUAGAGGCUCUUAUUUGACAUCGUAGGGACGCGGGUUCAAUUCCCGCCACCUCCACCA